This 468-nucleotide ribosomal RNA is filed under the name uncultured bacterium. RNAcentral's name for it is "partial 16S ribosomal RNA". It matches the Rfam family "Bacterial small subunit ribosomal RNA", at positions 28 to 507 of the family's 1533-position model. The record is from RNAcentral.
GACGAACGCUGGCGGCGUGCUUAACACAUGCAAGUCGAACGGAAAGGCCCUGCUUUUGUGGGGUGCUCGAGUGGCGAACGGGUGAGUAACACGUGAGUAACCUGCCCUUGACUUUUGGAUAACUUCAGGAAACUUGGGCUAAUACCGGAUAGGAGCUCCUGCUGCAUGGUGGGGUUUGGAAAGUUUCGGCGGUUGGGGAUGGGCUCGCGGCUUAUCAGCUUGUUGGUGGGGUAGUGGCUUACCAAGGCUUUGACGGGUAGCCGGCCUGAGAGGGUGACCGGCCACAUUGCGACUGAGAUACGGCCCAGACUCCUACGGGAGGCAGCAGUAGGGAAUGUUGCACGAUGGGCGGAAGCCUGAUGCAGCAACGCCGCGUGCGGGAUGACGGACUUCGGGUUGUAAACCGCUUUCGCCUGUGACGAAGCGUGAGUGACGGUAAUGGGUAAAGAAGCACCGGCUAACUACGUG